Molecule: ribosomal RNA, 251 nt
Filed under: uncultured Treponema sp.
Lineage: Bacteria; Pseudomonadati; Spirochaetota; Spirochaetia; Treponematales; Treponemataceae
Description: partial 16S ribosomal RNA
Rfam family: Bacterial small subunit ribosomal RNA
Source: RNAcentral
GAGUGGCGGACUGGUGAGUAACGCGUGGGUGACCUGCCCUAAAGAUGGGGAUAGCUAGUAGAAAUAUUAGAUAAUACCGAAUGUGCUCAUUUACAUAAAGGUAGAUGAGGAAAGGGAGCUACGGCUCCGCUUUAGGAUGGGCCCGCGUCCCAUUAGCUAGUUGGUGAGGUAACGGCCCACCAAGGCAACGAUGGGUAUCCGGCCUGAGAGGGUGAACGGACACAUUGGGACUGAGAUACGGCCCAAACUCC